RNAcentral lists this ribosomal RNA (468 nucleotides) under uncultured bacterium. Its description in RNAcentral is "partial 16S ribosomal RNA". It matches the Rfam family "Bacterial small subunit ribosomal RNA", at positions 28 to 507 of the family's 1533-position model. The record is from RNAcentral.
GACGAACGCUGGCGGCGUGCUUAACACAUGCAAGUCGAACGGAAAGGCCCUGCUUUUGUGGGGUGCUCGAGUGGCGAACGGGUGAGUAACACGUGAGUAACCUGCCCUUGACUUUGGGAUAACUUCAGGAAACUGGGGCUAAUACCGGAUAGGAGCUCCUGCUGCAUGGUGGGGGUUGGAAAGUUUCGGCGGUUGGGGGUGGACUCGCGGCUUAUCAGCUUGUUGGUGGGGUAGUGGCUUACCAAGGCUUUGACGGGUAGCCGGCCUGAGAGGGUGACCGGCCACAUUGGGACUGAGAUACGGCCCAGACUCCUACGGGAGGCAGCAGUGGGGAAUAUUGCACAAUGGGCGGAAGCCUGAUGCAGCAACGCCGCGUGCGGGAUGACGGCCUUCGGGUUGUAAACCGCUUUCGCCUGUGACGAAGCGUGAGUGACGGUAAUGUGUAAAGAAGCACCGGCUAACAACGUG